UACGUAGGGUGCAAGCGUUAAUCGGAAUUACUGGGCGUAAAGCGUGCGCAGGCGGUUUUGUAAGACAGAUGUGAAAUGCCCGGGCUUAACCUGGGAACUGCAUUUGUGACUGCAAGGCUAGAGUUUGGCAGAGGGGGGUAGAAUUCCACGUGUAGCAGUGUAAUGCGUAGAUAUGUGGAGGAAUACCGAUGGCGAAGGCAGCCCCCUGGGUCAAGACUGACGCUCAUGCACGAAAGCGUGGGGAGCAAACAGG
RNAcentral lists this ribosomal RNA (253 nucleotides) under uncultured bacterium. Its description in RNAcentral is "partial 16S ribosomal RNA". It matches the Rfam family "Bacterial small subunit ribosomal RNA", at positions 524 to 776 of the family's 1533-position model. The record is from RNAcentral.